This 368-nucleotide ribosomal RNA is filed under the name uncultured organism. RNAcentral describes it as "bacterial SSU rRNA". It matches the Rfam family "Bacterial small subunit ribosomal RNA", at positions 526 to 896 of the family's 1533-position model. The record is from RNAcentral.
CGGAGGGUGCAAGCGUUAUCCGGAUUCACUGGGUUUAAAGGGUGCGUAGGCGGGCAGGUAAGUCAGUGGUGAAAUCUCAGAGCUUAACUCUGAAACUGCCGUUGAUACUAUCUGUCUUGAAUAUUGUGGAGGUAAGCGGAAUAUGUCAUGUAGCGGUGAAAUGCUUAGAUAUGACAUAGAACACCUAUUGCGAAGGCAGCUUACUACGCAAUCAUUGACGCUGAGGCACGAAAGCGUGAGGAUCAAACAGGAUUAGAUACCCUGGUAGUUCACGCCCUAAACUAUGGAUACUCGACAUCAGCGAUACACAGUUGGUGUCUGAGCGAAAGCAUUAAGUAUCCCACCUGGGAAGUACGACCGCAAGGUUG